Molecule: ribosomal RNA, 253 nt
Filed under: uncultured bacterium
Lineage: Bacteria
Description: partial 16S ribosomal RNA
Rfam family: Bacterial small subunit ribosomal RNA
Source: RNAcentral
UACGGAGGGUGCUAGCGUUGUUCGGAAUCACUGGGCGUAAAGGGCGUGUAGGCGGUUUGUUAAGUCUGAUGUGAAAUCCCCUCGCUCAACGAGGGAACUGCGUCGGAUACUGACAAACUUGAGUACCGGAGAGGAAGGUGGAAUUCCUGGUGUAGCGGUGAAAUGCGUAGAUAUCGGGAGGAACAUCUGUGGCGAAGGCGACACCCUGGACCAGCACUGACACUGAGGCACGAAAGCGUGGGGAGCGAACGGG